Molecule: long non-coding RNA, 1541 nt
Filed under: Calidris pugnax (ruff)
Lineage: Eukaryota; Metazoa; Chordata; Aves; Charadriiformes; Scolopacidae
Description: lncRNA (ENSCPUG00000002696.1)
Source: RNAcentral
GAGCUGCCCAGGGCUGUGGGCAGCACCUGCCUGAGGCUGCUGGCCCCCGGGACACAGCAUCUUGGCAAGGGAGUACUUGGCUUGUGACAAGGAGGAUGACGAGGAGCAUGAGGAAUAUGCUCUGUCUUUUUGGAGACUCAAUUGAGUGGAGAAUGAGAAAAUGUUCCUGUUUGUGCCUGGCCCUGUUGGAACCCUGCGUGGCUCCAUCAAGCUCCAGCAUCCUGGGGUACUGAGCUGCCCAGACAAACCUACAGCGUUUGGUGACGGCACCGCACAUGAGCUGGCAGAUGGCCCCAUAAAGCUCUUUGGUAACAGCCCGAGACAAAACCUCUUCCUUAGAAGGUAUUUUUUCUGCACUUUGAAAGCAAGAGAACCUGGUCCAAAGACAAGCACAUUUGCAGAGGUGACAAAGCCAUCAGUACGAGCGCAUUCAUUCUGCGUCUGGACUUCGAAGCAUCCGCACAGCGAUGAGGGCCCUAUCUGGAAGAGCUGUGUGUUACUUUUUAAGGGAAUGAGCAAACGUACAACCUCAUUAACAUGAGUUACUGUUGUUAAAUAGCCAGGAGAUAUGAAAAGAAGAAGCAGGUUGGCAGGGCCUUGUGGUUCGCUUGCCAAAUGAGUAUGGAAUUGAAGAGGUUGCCAUGAAAAGGAAACUUCUUGCACAGUGAUUUACAGUGUGAGUGCCUGAGCAUAAACCAGAAAUACUUUAGGGGUUAGGAAAUACUGUGAUUUAAUAUGGAUUUCUGUGAUGAUAAAGUAAAUUCUUCCUUUUUUAAUAACAUCUUCUGUAAAGCUUCUUUUUAAAGAGGUCAGUCCACCAGAUAUACAGCAGAUAUGGGAUAUGGAGAACUCGGCUUUCUAAAAGCCACUGCAGAUGUAGUCCCUAGUCCUGGUAUCUGUGGCUAAUCUCACAAGUAUUCACACAGACUCUGCCCAAGAUAUAAGAUUUACAAUAUAAACCAUAAUACAAAACAGCCUCUUUAUCACCAUCUGCUGCAGUCUGAGGUUUACCCCAAGAAAUAAGAACGGUUACGGUGCUUUGCUCUCAACUGAUUUUGUGGAAAGCAGAAAACCCAGACUCCCCUGGUCUUCAGGUCCAGCGUAUUUCACCGUGAAGCUCCUACUCCUUCGUUAGAGAAUCCCAGAGCACAAGGAGCAAGAAGGAAAUCUCCUGUCAUUUAUGGGACGUAGCUGCAGGGCAAGCACGUUCCCUCUGGCGACGAGGCUCUCCUGUGCGAGGUGUUCAUCCCGACGGUUCUGUUCCAAGGAACUCUUCCUGCAUAUAAAUUAGCUUAACAUGGAACCAGUUUUGGCAAUAACUCUAAUUCAGUAAUCCAUACACCAAAGAAUUAAACAAAUGAAGGGAUUUUAAGUAUUAGAUUUGAUUGAAUAUUAAUGUGAUACUUCUUUAUAAUACAAACUAGCUGCUAAAGAAUUCUCUUUAAAGACCAUCUUUGAGUUCAGCCAAGAUAAAGUGCAGUGUGUGCCAUUUUGUAAUGGGAGAUAACCACUCCUAACAGGGUGUAUUUUGUGUUUGUACA